GCCUCUAUGGCUCAGUGGUAGAGCGCAUCACUAGUAAUGAUGAGGUCCACGGUUCGAUCCCGUGUAGAGGCA
Aspergillus brasiliensis CBS 101740 is the source of this 72-nucleotide transfer RNA. It matches the Rfam family "tRNA". Rfam says of the family: Transfer RNA (tRNA) molecules are approximately 80 nucleotides in length. Their secondary structure includes four short double-helical elements and three loops (D, anti-codon, and T loops). The record is from Rfam. Lineage: Eukaryota; Fungi; Ascomycota; Eurotiomycetes; Eurotiales; Aspergillaceae.